GUCUAUGGCCAUGCUACCCUGAACACGCCGGAUCCCUUCUGAUCUCAGAAGCUAAGCAGGGUCGGGCCAGGUUAGUACUUGGAUGGGAGACCACCUGGGAGGACCAUGUGCUGUAGGUG
This 119-nucleotide ribosomal RNA is filed under the name Pteropus alecto (black flying fox). Lineage: Eukaryota; Metazoa; Chordata; Mammalia; Chiroptera; Pteropodidae. The record is from RNAcentral.